GUUCGAUCCUGGCUCAGAAUGAACGUUGGCGGCGUGGAUUAGGCAUGCAAGUCGAGCGAGAAGUUUUAAAAAGAUGCUUCGGUUGAUUUUUAAAACGGACAGCGGCGAAAGGGAGAGUAACGAGUAGAUACGUACCCAAGGGUUCGGGAUAGCCAUGCGAAAGCGUGAGUAAUACCGAAUAAUGUCUCCGGACCAAAGAUUUAUUGCCCUUGGAGCGGUUUGCUUACUAUUAGCUUGUUGGUGGGGUAAAGGCCUACCAAGGCUUAGAUGGUUAGCGGGUGUGAGAGCAUGACCCGUCUCACUGGGACUGAGACACUGCCCAGACACCUACGGGUGGCUGCAGUCGAGAAUCUUCCGCAAUGGACGAAAGUCUGACGGAGCGACGCCGCGUGCUGGAUGAAGGCCCUCGGGUUGUAAACAGCUGUCGUAGGGGAGGAAAUUUUGACCGAUCCUAGGAGGAAGCACAGGCUAAGUUCGUGCCAGCAGCCGCGGUAAUACGAACUGUGCAAACGUUAUUCGGAAUCACUGGGCUUAAAGGGUGCGUAGGCGGGUUGGUAGGUCAGAUGUGAAAGCCCACGGCUCAACCGUGGAAUUGCGUUUGAAACCACUAGUCUUGAGGGGAUCAGAGGAGAGCGGAACUGAUGGUGGAGCGGUGAAAUGCGUUGAUAUUAUCAGGAACACCGGUGGCGAAAGCGGCUCUCUGGGAUCCUUCUGACGCUGAGGCACGAAAGCUAGGGGAGCGAACGGGAUUAGAUACCCCGGUAGUCCUAGCUGUAAACGAUCUGUACUAGUCCGUGGGGACCCCCACAUCUUCUCGGACGUAGCGAAAGUGUUAAGUACAGCGCCUGGGGAGUAUGGUCGCAAGGCUGAAACUCAAAUGAAUUGACGG
RNAcentral lists this ribosomal RNA (889 nucleotides) under uncultured bacterium. Its description in RNAcentral is "bacterial SSU rRNA". It matches the Rfam family "Bacterial small subunit ribosomal RNA", at positions 11 to 916 of the family's 1533-position model. The record is from RNAcentral.